Pseudophryne corroboree (corroboree frog) is the source of this 519-nucleotide long non-coding RNA. RefSeq lists it as uncharacterized. The transcript is spliced from 2 exons. Lineage: Eukaryota; Metazoa; Chordata; Amphibia; Anura; Myobatrachidae. The record is from RefSeq and is a predicted model, not a curated record.
GGGAAAGGAUAGCGAGCCAAGGCCCGUUUAGGCAGAGGGAAUUUCUUCCCUGGAUUAGACCAGGGUUCCCGCCUGAAGUCCACUAGAUGAUCAGAAUGGGGUAAUAUGUUGCAACAGCAGAAGGUUUGCUACAUCUCCCCCAAGGUGGAAUUAUAAAGAAUAUUUCAGAACUGCAAGAGUUGCCUCGACACAGUCAAUAAGCAUGCGCAAUAGCUAGCACAUUGCAGCAAAUGUCACCACAACAUUUCAUAUACUGGCACGGUGGCAUUUCAUAUUGGAUCACAUGCAAAUGGAUGUUAGCUGUAACAGCUGUUUCUUAUUGGACAUAAUGACAGAAAAUGUUUCCGAAAUACGGUCUGUGUUACGUGGCAUCUGCAGAGUAAGCAUUCCUAAACACGUAGAACAACACUGCUUUUCUUAAUCAAAUGACAACGAUGCAGUUAAUUACGGGCAGAGCCUGUAACAGAACUCUCCUACUCUAACACUGGCGCUGAUUAAACCAUUUACAACACACUGAAA